GAAAUCCGAAAUGUAAUGAAUCUAAACUAUAUAGAUCCUGAUGCCUUUCAAGACCUUCCGUUACUGAAAUACCUGUGAGUAUAACAGCAAAAUAUGCAUUAAAAAUAUGACUGGCUAUCUAACUCCAUAUAUUUAGUUCCACUCCAACCAAGCAAGAUUUCAGUGAGCCGUAAUGUGUGGCAAGGUGAACAGUUAAAGGGACUGAACAGUUAAACACUAUAGUCACCAGAACAACGACAGCUCUGGUGGGUAUAAUCAUUCCCGUCUGGCUAUUGCCAGAAGGGAAUGAUUCUGGCAAAAAGCCACUCUUUAGAUGGCUCCUAGAGGUGCUUCCUGGGGCAGUGCUCCUCAGACCUGACCCUAUAGUGUUCCUUUAAAGUAGAGCUACCGUCCUCAAAAUGUGUGUGUAAAAAAGUCAUCUUGUUGGUAGUUUUUAGAUUUAAUUUAUACAUUAUGAUACAAAUAGUCAUGUCUAAAGUACAGGAUAUAUUUAUAUAUUACUUCAUUUGCCUCCAAGAUGGGAAACAGAAUGGACAAGUUUAAGGAACACUAUAGUGUCUGGAACACAAACAUGUAUUCCUGACUCUAGAGUGUCCCAGACCACUUCUGCCCAUUGGAGUGGUCUGGGUGCCAAGACCAUCACCCUUUUUAUAAACUGCAAUAAUUACCCUGCAGGGUUAAGUCCUCCUCUAGUGGUUGUCCAUCAGACAGCCACUAGAGGGACUUUCGGGUUCUUAAAACACGAAAAGUGUUUUAAACGACGCUUCGCAUCAUGCAUGAGGACCUCCAGCGUCGCCAGAAUCCCCAUAGAAAAACAUUGUAUAAUGCUUUACUAUGGGGAGGUCUAAUGCGCGCACGCCGCCAUUGCCACGCAUGCGCAUUAGGCCUCCCCUGCCAGCUGACAUCGGCAGGGGGAAGCGUGGGCGGAGCCUGACCCAGUGCCAAGGGACAUCAGCGCUGGAUUCAGGUAAGUCACUGAAGAGAUGCGUUGAAUUAAUGCAUUUCUAUGGGAAGGUUCAGCUCCUUCAUGCAGAGCGUGGAGAUGCUGAAUGCCAGUGCGGCACACAGUGCAAAAUUGACACAGAAAGCAUUCUAGUGAUCGUCUGAGUGACUGCCACUAGAGGUGUUACUAGGCAGUAAUGUGAACACUGCCUUUUUUUCUGCAGGGACAUGUUAUAGACGCCAGAACCACUACAUCAAGCUGUAGUUGUUCUGGUGACUAUAAUGUACCUUUAACAAAACCCCAGAAAAACUAUUUGUUCCGUAGGAAAGUAUAUGUUUUAUAGACAUAAUGCCAAAUAGAAUGAACUGAACAAUGUGAUAACUGGUACAUUUUCUAACGAGACUGACUUACUGCUUGCAUUGGCAAUAGGAUAAUAGGAUAGCCAUGCUAGUUGUUUAUUUUAUAAAUACAGAAAUCGACAAAGGCAUAUGUGUUGCAACCAGUAACGUUUAAAUUAACAUCUCAAACAAUUCCAAUAAUUGAAAAAUAGAAAGUACGGGCUACAGGCUGCAUUUAGUACUUAGUACCUGGACGUUUGUACAAAGAGUGCUUUGUAUUAGCUAUAGUGAUAUCACUUUGUAAUAUUUAUGACUGUUCCAUCUGACAGGAAAUCCUUCUCUUAUUCUCAUUCCUUCAGAGGGAUUUUAAACACCGGACUCGCCAUUUUUCCAGAUUUAACCAAGAUUCACUCUGCUGAUAUGAAUGUAUUUGUGUGAGUAAUAUAAGCUUUUAUGAAUGGAAGCGGAAAGCAAGUCAAUGUAUAAAACAUCACUGGAUUUAUCAAACACCGCUAGUGAGUUUUGGCAGCUCAAAGAGUGUGACUUGUACCAAUGGUAGAAAAAUUGUAGUAGGAAGUGUUUCAAAUUAACCCAUGGGUGUUUAUUUAUUGAACGGGGGAUUGUAGAGACAAAGAAAUAGCAAAUUGUAUACAAAAAAAAAAAUUAUAGAAUUUUUAUAGAACAAUUCCUAAUAUAUACAGGAUCGUCAAAUAAAUGCAUCUACAAAAAAUAUCUGAAAUAUACAUUUUUAAUACAUACAAAAUAAACUGGAAUAUAUAUAUUGAAAUAAAAAGUGAUUUUUUUUUUCUCGUGUAUGACCCUAUACAGACAUCUUUAUGCAACAAACAAUUGCAGAGGACACGAUAGGAUUAUGCUUUGUGUUGAUUUAUCACAAAUAUGUGCUGCAUGUUUUAGGAUUAAGUAAACAUGAAGUUCAUUUACUAAAUGGUAAACAGUUGACAAUCUACUUCAACAAUUUGGCUAUUUGGCCUACAUUUAGCAAGUUGGAUGCCAACUCAGUAAUGCGUGAUGUUUAGUGAGUAAAUCCUAUGUUUAAUUCGCUGUCACCAGCUCACAGCUGAAUGUCAUUCUCUAUUUGCAGGGAAAUUGCCGAUAACCCUUACAUUAGUACAGUGCCGGCUAAUGCGUUUCUUGGACUGGGCCAAGGCUUCCUCACCCUGUGAGUACAAAUGAGGCUCUUCCUGAAAUUGCAGUUUAGAACAAUUUAACUUGUAUUUCCAUAUAUUUCAAUAACACACGUCUAGCCCCAUCCAAGCCUCUCCAUUUCCUGAAGCCAUAUCUUUUCUAAAGUCACAUUCCCUCAAUUCAGAUUCCUAGCCGUUCUCCAACUGUACCCCUCCCAAAAAUUUAUUCUGACCAUAUUUCUCCAACUGAUCUCUCGUACUACAAACAUAAUACCCCUUCGACUCAGCCUCAUACCUCCAAAGCAUCUUGCCACAUUCACAUUCUCCAAAUAAUAACCUUCAAGACUACUUCAAUCCCUAAAAAACAAACAAACAGAACCAAACAAAAAAACACUGUUCAGGUUAAUUUCAAGGUUGCCUCAUGUAACAAUUGUGCAAGAAAAGGGAGAUGUGAUAUCCUAUUCCCACCCUUCCCUCCAUAAGCCUGAUUACACCAUAAGUACAACAAGGGAACCAGACUAUGUAACUGAAAUCCGUAGAACGAAGAAUUAAAGUUUUAUGCGCUGGGGGAGCCUGCUGCAGGUAUCAACCAUGGAGAUGAGCACUUAUGGAACCUAUACUGUACAUCAACAAGUGAGGCAAAAUGCCAUCUGUGAUCCGUCGGCCCCCAUAGGGUAGAUAUAAGUUGUCUCCUAUUGUGAUGUGUAAAUGAAAAACAGUAUUUCUCUAUGAUUUUUUUAUUUUUAUUUUAAAGCAAACUCUACAACAAUGGUUUCACCCAGCUGAAGGGAUUCACAUUCAAUGGAACCAAACUCGAUGAAAU
This is a non-coding RNA of Pelobates cultripes (western spadefoot toad), 3249 nucleotides long. NCBI's taxonomy places the organism in Eukaryota, Metazoa, Chordata, Amphibia, Anura, Pelobatidae. The record is from the annotation of a GenBank genome assembly.